Molecule: ribosomal RNA, 257 nt
Filed under: uncultured bacterium
Lineage: Bacteria
Description: partial 16S ribosomal RNA
Rfam family: Bacterial small subunit ribosomal RNA
Source: RNAcentral
UACAGAGACCUCAAGCGUUAUCCGGAAUCAUUGGGCGUAAAGCGUACCGAUUGGUGGUCUAAAAAGUCAGCAGUGAAAUCUCAAGGCUCAACUUUGAGACUGUCUUUUGAAACUUUUAGACUAGAGGGGCAAAGAGGAAGCUGGAACGAACGGUGUAGUAGUGAAAUGCGUUGAUAUCGUUCGGAACACCAAUAGCGAAGGCGGGCUUCUGGGUGCCACCUGACACUGCUAGGACGAAAGCGUGGGGAGCGAAUGGG